Molecule: ribosomal RNA, 493 nt
Filed under: uncultured bacterium
Lineage: Bacteria
Description: partial 16S ribosomal RNA
Rfam family: Bacterial small subunit ribosomal RNA
Source: RNAcentral
GACGAACGCUGGCGGCGUGCCUAACACAUGCAAGUUGAGCGACGAACCAGGGCUUGCCCUGGGGCAAAGCAGCGAACGGGUGAGUAACACGUGGGUAACCUACCCCGAUAACCGGGACAACCCGAGGAAACUCGGGCUAAUACCGGAUGUGCUCACUGGACUUCGGUUCAGUGCGUAAAGGAAGCUUCGGCCUCCGUAUCGGGAGGGGCCCGCGGCCCAUUAGUUUGUUGGUGAGGUAACGGCUCACCAAGACCGCGAUGGGUAGCUGGUCUGAGAGGACGAUCAGCCACACUGGGACUGAGACACGGCCCAGACUCCUACGGGAGGCAGCAGUGGGGAAUCUUGCGCAAUGCGCGAAAGCGUGACGCAGCAACGCCGCGUGGGGGAAGAAGGCCUUCGGGUUGUAAACCCCUUUCAGGAGGGACGAAGGUUCGGCGGUGAAUAGCCGUCCGGACUGACGGUACCUCCACAAGAAGCCCUGGCUAACUACGUG